RNAcentral lists this ribosomal RNA (431 nucleotides) under uncultured bacterium. RNAcentral's name for it is "partial 16S ribosomal RNA". It matches the Rfam family "Bacterial small subunit ribosomal RNA", at positions 29 to 507 of the family's 1533-position model. The record is from RNAcentral.
AACGAACGCUGGCGGCAUGCCUAACACAUGCAAGUCGAACGAGACCUUCGGGUCUAGUGGCGCACGGGUGCGUAACGCGUGGGAACCUGCCCUUAGGUUCGGAAUAACUCCCCGAAAGGGGUGCUAAUACCGGAUAAUGUCUUCGGACCAAAGAUUUAUCGCCUUUGGAUGGGCCCGCGUUGGAUUAGCUAGUUGGUAGGGUAAAAGCCUACCAAGGCGACGAUCCAUAGCUGGUCUGAGAGGAUGUUCAGCCACACUGGGACUGAGACACGGCCCAGACUCCUGCGGGGGGAGGAAGGGGGAAAUAGGGAACAAGGGGGAAUGGCGUGAUCCAGCAGUGCGGGGGGAGUUGUGAAGGCCGUAGGGUAUAAAUGCUUUUUUCCCCGGAAAUAUAAGGAGUGCCUAGGAAGAAGAACCCCGCUCAAUCCCCG